GGGAGGCAGCAGUGGGGAAUUUUGCGCAAUGGACGAAAGUCUGACGCAGCAACGCCGCGUGGGUGAUGAAGGUCUUCGGAUCGUAAAACCCUGUCGUCAGGGACGAAGGUUGCAUGUCGAAUAGAUGUGUAACUUGACGGUACCUGGAGAGGAAGCCCCGGCUAACUCUGUGCCAGCAGCCGCGGUAAUACAGAGGGGGCAAGCGUUAUUCGGAAUUAUUGGGCGUAAAGGGCGCGUAGGCGGUGAUGUAAGUGAGAUGUGUAAUCCCCGAGCUUAACUUGGGAACUGCAUCUCAGACUGUGUCGCUUGAGUACUGGAGAGGGUGGUGGAAUUCCACGUGUAGCGGUGAAAUGCGUAGAGAUGUGGAGGAACACCAGUGGCGAAGGCGGCCACCCGGACAGUAACUGACGCUGAGGCGCGAAAGUGUGGGGAGCAAACAGGAUUAGAUACCCGUGUAGUCCU
This 462-nucleotide ribosomal RNA is filed under the name uncultured bacterium. Its description in RNAcentral is "bacterial SSU rRNA". It matches the Rfam family "Bacterial small subunit ribosomal RNA", at positions 343 to 797 of the family's 1533-position model. The record is from RNAcentral.